GUCUAUGUAGUAUAUCAAUUACACUGGUCUUGUAAACCAGAAAAGAGGAAGAAAAUUCCUCCAAAGACU
RNAcentral lists this transfer RNA (69 nucleotides) under Chalinolobus tuberculatus (New Zealand long-tailed bat). RNAcentral's name for it is "tRNA-Thr". Lineage: Eukaryota; Metazoa; Chordata; Mammalia; Chiroptera; Vespertilionidae. The record is from RNAcentral.